RNAcentral lists this ribosomal RNA (468 nucleotides) under uncultured bacterium. RNAcentral's name for it is "partial 16S ribosomal RNA". It matches the Rfam family "Bacterial small subunit ribosomal RNA", at positions 28 to 507 of the family's 1533-position model. The record is from RNAcentral.
GACGAACGCUGGCGGCGUGCUUAACACAUGCAAGUCGAACGGAAAGGCCCUGCUUUUGUGGGGUGCUCGAGUGGCGAACGGGUGAGUAACACGUGAGUAACCUGCCCUUGACUUUGGGAUAACUUCAGGCAACUGGGGCUAAUACCGGAUAGGAGCUCCUGCUGCAUGGUGGGGGUUGGAAAGUUUCGGCGGUUGGGGAUGGACUCGCGGCUUAUCAGCUUGUUGGUGGGGUAGUGGCUUACCAAGGCUUUGACGGGUAGCCGGCCUGAGAGGGUGACCGGCCACAUUGGGACUGGGAUGCGGCCCAGACUCCUACGGGAGGCAGCAGUGGGGAAUAGUGCACAAUGGGCGGAAGCCUGAUGCAGCAACGCCACGGGCGGGAUGACGGCCUUCGGGUUGGAAACCGCUUUCGCCUGUGACGAAGCGUGAGUGACGGUAAUGGGUAAAGAAGCACCGGCUAACUACGUG